Molecule: ribosomal RNA, 204 nt
Filed under: uncultured bacterium
Lineage: Bacteria
Description: partial 16S ribosomal RNA
Rfam family: Bacterial small subunit ribosomal RNA
Source: RNAcentral
GACGAACGCCGGCGGCGUGCUUAACACAUGCAAGUCGAGCGGUAAGGCCCUUUCGGGGGUACACGAGCGGCGAACGGGUGAGUAACACGUGGGUGACCUGCCCUCAGCUCUGGGAUAAGCCUGGGAAACCGGGUCUAAUACCGGAUAUGACUCCAUGACGCAUGUUGUGGGGUGGAAAGCCUUGUGCGGCUGAGGAUGGGCCCG